Molecule: ribosomal RNA, 425 nt
Filed under: uncultured bacterium
Lineage: Bacteria
Description: partial 16S ribosomal RNA
Rfam family: Bacterial small subunit ribosomal RNA
Source: RNAcentral
GUGGGGAAUAUUGGGCAAUGGGGGAAACCCUGACCCAGCAACGCCGCGUGAAGGAAGAAGGUUUUCGGAUCGUAAACUUCUAUCCUUGGUGAAGAUAAUGACGGUAGCCAAGAAGGAAGCCCCGGCUAACUACGUGCCAGCAGCCGCGGUAAUACGUAGGGGGCAAGCGUUGUCUGGAAUGAUUGGGCGUAAAGGGCGCGUAGGCGGCCUGGUAAGUCUGGAGUGAAAGUCCUGCUUUUAAGGUGGGAAUUGCUUUGGAUACUGUCGGGCUUGAGUGCAGGAGAGGUAAGCGGAAUUCCCGGUGUAGCGGUGAAAUGCGUAGAGAUCGGGAGGAACACCAGUGGCGAAGGCGGCUUACUGGACUGUAACUGACGCUGAGGCGCGAAAGUGUGGGGAGCAAACAGGAUUAGAAACCCUUGUAGUCC